GACGAACGCUGGCGGCGUGCCUAACACAUGCAAGUCGAACGGAGUUAUUCCUUUCGGGGGAUAACUUAGUGGCGAACGGGUGAGUAACGCGUGAGGAACCUACCUCUCAGUGGGGGACAACAGUUGGAAACGACUGCUAAUACCGCAUAAUGUAGCGAGAUCGCAUGAUCAUGCUACCAAAGCUUUAUGUGCUGAGAGAUGGCCUCGCGUCUGAUUAGCUAGUUGGCGGGGUAACGGCCCACCAAGGCGACGAUCAGUAGCCGGACUGAGAGGUUGAACGGCCACAUUGGGACUGAGAUACGGCCCAG
Molecule: ribosomal RNA, 308 nt
Filed under: uncultured bacterium
Lineage: Bacteria
Description: bacterial SSU rRNA
Rfam family: Bacterial small subunit ribosomal RNA
Source: RNAcentral